GCUCCCAUGGCGUAGUGGUCACUGCGCUCCUUGCCUUGCACGCAGGAGACCCGGGUUCAACUCCCGGCAGGGUCA
RNAcentral lists this transfer RNA (75 nucleotides) under Diaphorina citri (Asian citrus psyllid). It matches the Rfam family "tRNA". From Rfam's summary of the family: Transfer RNA (tRNA) molecules are approximately 80 nucleotides in length. The record is from Rfam by way of RNAcentral. Lineage: Eukaryota; Metazoa; Arthropoda; Insecta; Hemiptera; Psyllidae.